UAAACCGGGAUUAGAUACCCCGCUAUAUAGGGGGGGUUUGAAGGGGGGGUAGUAACGGCUAUGGUCCCCAAACCCAAAGAACUUGGCGGCAGCCUACCCAACUAGAGGAACCUGCCCCAUAACCGAUACCACCCGUUAACCCAACCCCCUAUAUGUUUGUAUACCGCCGUCUAACCUUUAACUACUAGGUUAAGGUGGAAUGGUCCCCCAUUAAGACAGGUCGAGGUGCAGCGCAUUGGGGGGAGGAGGUGGGUUACAGUCCCCAUGGGGCGGACCUUCUUUUUAUAGGGAAGGCUAAGAUGGAUUUAGAGGUAGCGUGGGGUCAAUACCCCCACGUGAAUUGGAUUUAGGCCGUGUACAUAUCGCCCGUCACUCUCAAUAAAUUUGAGAU
Molecule: ribosomal RNA, 391 nt
Filed under: Excirolana braziliensis
Lineage: Eukaryota; Metazoa; Arthropoda; Malacostraca; Isopoda; Cirolanidae
Description: partial 12S ribosomal RNA
Rfam family: Bacterial small subunit ribosomal RNA
Source: RNAcentral